UUUGAUUGUAGAGGAGCGGAAUCUAUCUCUAUAUAAAAGGAUAGUGGGCAGGGGUCUGCGAAGAGAGGGUCGUGAGGGAGGAAAGAGCCUCUUCAGGAGAAGGAGGCUGCCACUGUACGAAUUAGAUGUGGAAACAAGAUGAGCAAGAUCUGUUAACGCAGGAAGUGGGGGGGGGGAGAGAGAGAGAGAAAAGAAGGGGGGAGAAAGACAAAAGGGAAGAGCGAGCAGAGGAGAGAACGAAGGGAGGAGAAGAGAUAAAUAAGGGUGAGGAAUGGGACUGGGUCUGUCAGCAGCCUGAAGGGAACUAGUGACCACAGCAAGGAAGGUUCCGGUCAACUGCCACCACUGUUGCUUUUUGAGGCUGCCGAGGCCACUGGGGGAGGGAGGCAGGCAGGUGAGCCUGUCAGCGGCCUGAGGGGAAUAAGCUGCCAUGGUGGCAGCAGUAGCAGUGAGGAAGGGCCUGGUCAACCACUGCUGCUGCUGCUGCUCCUCCUCCUCCUCCUGCGGGGAGGAGCAGGGCUUGGGUGAGGAGAUCUCUGGCGUUAGGGGGCUGCGACUUGGCCAACUGGAGUUAGCAAUGCCACAGCCAAGACCAAGAGAGGUGAGGGAGAUGGAGUAACAGGAUGGAAAAGCGACUAAGAGAGGUGAGCGGGUGAGGAAGCAAUGGAAUGGAGGAGGAGGAGCAGGAGUGUGGCUCAGGUGAGGGUGGAGAGAUCUCGAGGGGGCUGUGUCGAGGGGUGAAGGGAGCAAUCAAGUACUAGCGCACAGAUGCUCUGCACAGGUAAAGCUAGUACACAUUUAAAGGUUCUAGAGAUUGUUGUUGAUCUUGCAACAGUAGAUAGCAUAGUGAAGCCUCUGGAAUUCUUGCUUUAACUGUCCUUAUGGAUUAAGAACUGAUGGCACAGGAUUACAUACUAAAUGUUGGCAGUAGAUACCACUUGGAAUGAAAGAAUAAGUCUGUUACCUCAGCUGCUAAGUUGGAGCCCAAUAGAUCACAGUGCUGUUUGACAUAAAUCACUAGAGACUGCAUAAGGAUGGGGCUGCGCUUCACGGCUUCCUGCAUUUCAACAACUAGUGCCGCACAGUCUCCACAGGGGUUUUCUGCCUCCUGACAGAACAGAGCUGUUUCAAGGGAGUAGUCAAAUCCACCCACAGUGUAUCCUCACCCGAAGCUCAAGAUAGGGAUCUUCUUGAGGGUACAGGAGGAAAGGCACAUUAGCUAUGAAAGGAGACAUCAUUUCAGGGAAGUCCAGUUCAGGCACUCCAUCAGACUUCUGGAACUUCAGAGCUCCUUCGGAGGCUCUUCGAGAGCUGCACAACCUAAAGGCACCACAUACUAUUUCAGGCCUAUCCUGGGAAGAGAAAGAGAGACACAAAUCAUUCCUUAAGGCAACACUGCUAGUCUCUAAAGCUGAGAAGAAAACAAACACGUUGGAAGAGAAUACUUCUUAGGAGAUUGCACGCUUGCUCAAGAAUGGUUUCCACAUUAGAAAUAUAUAGAAUCACAGGAAGGCUUCACACAAUGUGCAGAAGACAUGCCUAACCCUCCAAAAAAUGGAUGGGGAAACUUUCAAAGAAAAGUCUUUUCCACAUGUCAAAUCAGGACUUUGAAAUGAACAUAACAAGCACAUGAGGUCUUCACGAAGGAGCAUAACACUAUCCAUGGGAGAUGUAUGUGAGAAGUCUUAAGACUGGAGACAGACACUUUUUUUGCAGAAAGCUGAAGUUGCAACUACAAAGGCCUUAUUACCAAACACAUCCAUCCCAUUGCCACCUUUGGCAAAGAGAUUUUGCAGGAAUGUGUAGUCCUUCAAAAAUGUGGAAAGCCUAUGUGACCAAAGAUGGCAGUGGGAGAAAAAUGUGGCUCUUGCGACUUUCAACAUGGUUACAAGUGAUCUGUCUACAACUACACCUAGGGAGCUUGGCAGCAUUUCAUUAUAAGCACCAGGCAGAUUCUCAUCGAACUGCUUCAAAAUUAAAUGACUGGAAAACAUUUAGUGGAAAGAAACUCUGUGUCAUCCAAAAUCAUGGGAUCUUGUUGGAAAAACUAGUCAGUAUUUUAAAUAUUAAAGUUUGGGGAGUUUUUUUAAAAAUAUCUAUUUUAUUUAUUAUUAAAUUUGUAUACCGCCUUUCAUUAAAACAAUCCCAAGGCAGUUUACAAAACAUUUAACAUUAUAAAACCAUACAAACUAAACAAUAAGAAUUAAGAUGGAAUAUAAAAAUACAUAGCGAAAAGUUUUUUAAAAACAUAUCCUCAGAUCAACAGGAAUGAAACUAAACACUAAAAGUUGUUCAAUUUGAGGGACAUCUAAAUAUAUGCACCACAGCUCGCUUCAAAGACAUAUGCUACAAUCCAACACAGAGAGGGCUGUACAACUGUUAACUCAUAGGUGUAUCUACACUACAUCCUUAAUUAUCAUUCCCUCUCACUACGGAACCCUGGAGGUUGUAGUGCUAGGAUGAGAGAAGAGUAAAGAAUGAACAGCGAGCUCUCAGCACUAUCCCAA
This is a long non-coding RNA of Hemicordylus capensis (graceful crag lizard), 2507 nucleotides long. RefSeq lists it as uncharacterized. The record is from RefSeq and is a predicted model, not a curated record. The transcript is spliced from 3 exons. NCBI's taxonomy places the organism in Eukaryota, Metazoa, Chordata, Lepidosauria, Squamata, Cordylidae.